ACCUGGCGAGAUAGCGUGGGCGUGGGCCUUAUCUGCACACGGACAGGAUGGACUGGUCCUAGGGCCUCUAUAUCACUCACUCGCUUUCUCGGGUUCCCCCUAUCUCGUGGGCCUUACGAUGGCCCGGACUGUGAUAGUGCUUGGCGGAGGUAUCAGCGGAUUGGCCGCAAGUUAUCAUCUGACCCGAAGCCCCAGUCCUCCUAAGGUGAUCUUAGUGGAGGGCAGCAAACGUUUGGGAGGCUGGAUCCGUUCAGUCCGAGGAUCAGAUGGUGCGAUCUUUGAACUUGGACCUCGAGGAAUUAGGCCGGCUGGAGCCCUGGGAGCCCGGACCCUGCUCCUGGGCUUGUGGAGAGCAGGUUUCUGAACUUGGCUUGGAAUCCGAAGUCUUGCCUGUCCGAGGGGAUCAUCCAGCUGCCCAGAACCGGUUCCUGUAUGUAGGCGGUGCCCUGCACCCCCUACCCUCUGGCCUCAGGGGGCUACUUCGUCCUUCACCCCCCUUCUCAAAACCUCUAUUUUGGGCUGGACUGAGGGAGUUGACGAAGCCCAGGGGCAAAGAGCCUGAUGAGACUGUGCACAGUUUUGCCCAGCGCCGCCUUGGACCUGAGGUGGCGUCUCUGGCUAUGGACAGCCUUUGCAGAGGAGUGUUUGCUGGCAACAGCCAAGAGCUCAGCAUCCGGUCCUGCUUUCCCAGUCUCUUCCAAGCUGAACAA
RNAcentral lists this long non-coding RNA (710 nucleotides) under Rattus norvegicus (Norway rat). Its description in RNAcentral is "long non-coding RNA NONRATT008963". Lineage: Eukaryota; Metazoa; Chordata; Mammalia; Rodentia; Muridae. The record is from RNAcentral.